This 21-nucleotide non-coding RNA is filed under the name Caenorhabditis elegans. Lineage: Eukaryota; Metazoa; Nematoda; Chromadorea; Rhabditida; Rhabditidae. The record is from RNAcentral.
UUCUUUGUCAACUUUCAUGUA